GGGUCACACAGUACAAAAAAUUUUCUUAUCAAAAUCAAACUUUCAAGUUACAAAAUUUUAACAUCUUCCUUCGGAAGUUUCAAUGCAUAUUUCUGGUGCAUAUUUUUAACGUAUAUAUUUAGUUUUAAAGUAUUAUGUCCUUCGUUACCAUCUGCUAAAAGUGAUCGAUCGCAGAGCUUAAAUUUCAUCAUGUUCGGCCGUCUUUUCUCCUUCGGUAUCGGUGUCUAUGUUGGUGUGUAUAUAGCUCAGAAUUAUGAGAUUCAGAAACUCGACGAUCCUCAGAAAAUAUUCGAAAAAAUCAAGACAUUGGUAGAAGAUACGAUGACAAGCGAUGGAAAGAAGAAAUGAUUCUGGAGAAGUGUCUUACGACAUUGUUUUGUAUUUUUUAGAGCUAUUCGUUUCAUCGCUUCAGAUCUGUUUGUUGAUUUUUACCUUGCUAAUGCAACGCUCGUAUUAGUUUGCUUUUUAGUCAUUAUGAAAUUUUAUCGUGCGUUGUUCGUGUUCGGUGUAACUCUCUGUUGUAUGUGAUUACGUCUAUGACGUUUUACCGGUAAGAUGAUGUAAAUUAUGCAUAAGAUUCCGUGUAAAAUAAUUAUAAUUACAUUUUCAAGUUACGCUAUACCUUACGAAUAAAAAUAAACAAACGAAUAAUAGAAAAAUUAUUAACGCGAAA
Molecule: long non-coding RNA, 673 nt
Organism: Planococcus citri (citrus mealybug)
Lineage: Eukaryota; Metazoa; Arthropoda; Insecta; Hemiptera; Pseudococcidae
Exons: 3
Source: RefSeq, a predicted model, not a curated record